GGAGUUUGGACCGUCUCUCAGUUCCAAUGUGGCCGGUCAUCCUCUCAGAUCGGCUACCGAUCGUCGACUUGGUGGGCCGUUACCUCACCAACUAUCUAAUCGGACGCGAGCCCACCCCAAACCGGUUUGCACCUUUUACCCCUGCACCAUGUGAUGCUGUGGUCUCAUGCGGUAUUAGCACCUGUUUCCAAGUGUUAUCCCCCUGUCUGGGACAGGUUGCUCACGCGUUACUCACCCGUCCGCCACUGGAAUAUACCAUCUUCCGGCCGAAGCCUUCCGUCAGUAUAUCCCCGUUCGACUUGCAUGUGUUAAGCACGCCGCCAGCGUUCGUCCUGAGCCAGGAGUCAAACUACU
This 354-nucleotide ribosomal RNA is filed under the name uncultured Coriobacteriales bacterium. RNAcentral's name for it is "partial 16S ribosomal RNA". The record is from RNAcentral. Lineage: Bacteria; Bacillati; Actinomycetota; Coriobacteriia; Coriobacteriales.